GAUGAACGCUGGCGGCGUGCCUAAUACAUGCAAGUCGAGCGAACAGAUGAGGAGCUUGCUCCUCUGACGUUAGCGGCGGACGGGUGAGUAACACGUGGAUAACCUACCUAUAAGACUGGGAUAACUUCGGGAAACCGGAGCUAAUACCGGAUAAUAUAUUGAACCGCAUGGUUCAAUAGUGAAAGACGGUUUUGCUGUCACUUAUAGAUGGAUCCGCGCCGCAUUAGCUAGUUGGUAAGGUAACGGCUUACCAAGGCAACGAUGCGUAGCCGACCUGAGAGGGUGAUCGGCCACACUGGAACUGAGACACGGUCCAGACUCCUACGGGAGGCAGCAGCAGGGAAUCUUCCGCAAUGGGCGAAAGCCUGACGGAGCAACGCCGCGUGAGUGAUGAAGGUCUUCGGAUCGUAAAACUCUGUUAUUAGGGAAGAACAAAUGCGUAAGUAACUAUGCACGUCUUGACGGUACCUAAUCAGAAAGCCACGGCUAACUACGUG
This 497-nucleotide ribosomal RNA is filed under the name uncultured bacterium. Its description in RNAcentral is "partial 16S ribosomal RNA". It matches the Rfam family "Bacterial small subunit ribosomal RNA", at positions 28 to 507 of the family's 1533-position model. The record is from RNAcentral.